RNAcentral lists this ribosomal RNA (258 nucleotides) under uncultured Staphylococcus sp. RNAcentral's name for it is "partial 16S ribosomal RNA". It matches the Rfam family "Bacterial small subunit ribosomal RNA", at positions 103 to 356 of the family's 1533-position model. Lineage: Bacteria; Bacillati; Bacillota; Bacilli; Caryophanales; Staphylococcaceae. The record is from RNAcentral.
CGGGUGAGUAACACGUGAUAACCUACCUAUAAGACUGGGAUAACUUCGGGAAACCGGAGCUAAUACCGGAUAAUAUUUUGAACCGCAUGGUUCAAAAGUGAAAGACGGUCUUGCUGUCACUUAUAGAUGGAUCCGCGCUGCAUUAGCUAGUUGGUAAGGUAACGGCUUACCAAGGCAACGAUGCAUAGCCGACCUGAGAGGGUGAUCGGCCACACUGGAACUGAGACACGGUCCAGACUCCUACGGGAGGCAGCAGCG